RNAcentral lists this transfer RNA (71 nucleotides) under Cyprinella spiloptera (spotfin shiner). RNAcentral describes it as "tRNA-Gln". It matches the Rfam family "tRNA". Rfam says of the family: Transfer RNA (tRNA) molecules are approximately 80 nucleotides in length. Their secondary structure includes four short double-helical elements and three loops (D, anti-codon, and T loops). The record is from RNAcentral. Lineage: Eukaryota; Metazoa; Chordata; Actinopteri; Cypriniformes; Leuciscidae.
UAGAAAGUGGUGUAUCGGAAGCACCAAGCGCUUUGAUCUCUUGUGUAUGGGUUCGACUCCCUUCUUUCUAA